Molecule: long non-coding RNA, 3961 nt
Filed under: Coffea arabica (coffee)
Lineage: Eukaryota; Viridiplantae; Streptophyta; Magnoliopsida; Gentianales; Rubiaceae
Description: long non-coding RNA (CARA_LNC007478)
Source: RNAcentral
UAUGAUGUGAGAGAAUCCUUUUCCUGGUUUAUUAUGUCAUACUCAAUACACCAGGGUGGCUGAUAUAUGAAUUGAUAUCACCUGUUAUCCUCGUCAUUCACAUAUGUUAAAUGCACUUGUAGCCAUAAUACAUACACCUUGAUAUCUACCACAGUCAUGCUUAGCACUUGGACUGGCACGUUGCUCACAUCUCUUUCUAAUCCUUUCUUCAUAAGCUUUUUCUAAGCUUACAUAUUUUCAUCGGCUACCCAUUUAGAAAAGCUCAACUAUACAUAUGUAAAAAGGUUUCAGUAAGAAUGCAUAACCAACUAAAUUAUUAGCACAAACACAAUAAAUAAAUAAAUAAAUAAUAAUGUUUGUACCUCCAAUAUGCUAUCAAGAAUUAAUAACAUCCUUCAGUGAACCAUUGCGCUGAUUUGAACGCUGAUUUGAACGCUCUGACUCAUUAGGCCUUUCUUUACAAGGACAAAAUCACGAAAAGGCAAAAUAAAGCAAAGAGCUCACCUUGCAAAAUUAGGAAAGGGAGCUUUCAAUUGGAAGAAGAAGUUGGCCCCGAGACAAUGGUCCACACAAAUGGAGGCAAAAGUUCAUGUAAAGAACACAAAUCAAAGCAUGCACCACAUAAAUAGAGAAUCAUCCGAAACUCAAAUCAUCGGAAUAAAACAAGAGAUCUUAUUAGCCUUUGCUAACUUGGAAAUCUAAAAUCAAAACAUCAAAUCACCAAACAAAGGUGAGUAAGAAAACAGAACUUAAAAAAUAAAAAACAGAAUGAAAUAUGAACACAGAGCAGAAAUUAGCCGCUACAGAACAUUUAUAACCAAGAAGUGACCAGCCCUAUUCAAUAGCAUCAUCAUCCUAAUUCCCAAGUCAUACCCUUUGCUAAAAACUCUUUUAAGUCAUGCAUUUUCUAACUAUGAUUGUAUUGCUUUUGACUCUAAAGACAGUAAAUGUUCCAACUUGUCUAAGGCUACAAAAAUAUGUUAAUGAUGGUAAACUUGACUUAAAACAAAUACGUUCCCUCCAAUAUGAGUUCUCUCUAUCUUGGUUCUAAACGUGGUAAACUUGGUUUAAAACAAAUAAGCUCUCUCUAUCUGCAACCCUUAGAACACCUAGUUUAAGUAUGCAACAUUUUAUCUUAAUUAAAUUCAGAAAGUUGAAUAUGGCUUUAAGGCAUUUUACAAAUAGGUUUUGGGCACUAAUUAGGAUGGAGAAAAAUACUACAGAGAGUAAACAGAGCAGAAAUUAGCUGUUAUGGAACAUUUAUAACCAAGAGGUGACAAUCGCAACUGUAUUUGAUUGAAUUCAACUUUUCAUCCAUUCACAAUAUUCAUCAUUUUCCAUGAUUAAUGAUUCUAGAGAAUGAAAUGUUUGAAAUGAGAAUGAGUUCUUCAAUUGUUUAAGUUGCUCCUGAGAUGAGUAUGUGUUCUGUGUUUGUUUCAUGGAUACCCAAUUAAUUGGAGAACAAGAUUAGAUAACCCAAAAAAUGAAGAAACUUCACCGUGCUUUUCGGAUGACAAAAUUUUGCCACCACAAUAGUGGUGGCGAACUCUGCUCGGCAAACAAUAGCUCAUCCCUAUUCCUCGAACAAGACCCUGCCUCUCAUUUUUUUCUCUUUUUUUUUUGUUAAUUUGGUUUGAAGAGACAAAAUAUGCAAGGGAAAAAGAAAUCACGCAAAAGUGGGGAAAUCCAAUUGUUUUAAAUUCAAGAGUUAGCUACUUGCAUGAAAUUAUUAUUCUAAAUUCAAGAGUUAGCUACUUGCGUGAAAUUUCAUAAGUGACUUGGCACAAAAACUGCCUUCCUUUCCUGGAAAAAAAAAAAGAGAACCAAAAAUUAUACAUUUAACCCAUCAAUCAUGCUGAACGCUCAUCUGAAGUGGCCUGAAUUUAACAUCAAAGAAUCUUUGGAACUAAUUUCACUACCAUGGCAUAUUUCGACAAUCUAAGCUUGCUCAGACUCAAAAAAAAAAAGUAUAGCUAAUUGUCAAAAAAAAAUACAUCAUCUUUUCUUAGCUUUACAUUGCAUAAAUUCAGGGCUAACAAGUUCAUAUUGUUAGACCACCAUUCAUUUAUUGAAGUUAGGAAUAACACCUAGACCAACUGUAAUAACCUCUCAAUAUGUUUAGAAAAUCACCUAUAUUUUUCUUGUUACUUGGUUUUGGAUAGAAAAGUUAGUUGUAAUGCCUCUGGAAUACAAAUACCUUAAUGUAAUUCCUUUAUAAUAGUUUGUCUGUUGACAACCUAAUUAAACUCAUUCAAAAAAAAAAUUGAACUUGCAAAUUUGGUGUUCAACACCUUUUAAUUUGAUUAGUUUCCUGCGUAAUUUCUAAUGUUUUAAAUCUCAAAUAUAGAAAAUGAAUUGGAUAUAUUCAUAGGCUAGAUUACAAACUACAUUAGCUAAACCCACAAAGUAAAAUAGGAAAAGGAUAAAACACAUACACACACACAAACACAAAGUGAAACAGAAAGUAUGAAAUGCCUGGCCGUGUCUUACUCUUACACAAGGAAAAUUAAAGAAAGAAAAAGAGAAAAAUAGCAUCCAAUUGGCCUUCCAUUUAUUCCUUUCUGUUCUGUAGUUUUUUUGGUUCUUUUUGGAAACUUAUUAGUUUAUAAUGGAUUAAACUAUACAGAUAUUAUAAUAAGAAAAGGUUAUAGGAACUGCAAAACCUGUUAGGUGCGGUUUAUGAGAAGAAAAAUCAAUUGCUCCAAUACAUUAUAAAUGAGGUGUUAAAAAAAAUGACAAAUUAAUGCUCCACCAGUUUUGAUAUCAAAGAAGUUGUUGCUCAAUAUAAACGUCUACAUCUGGCUACGUCAAUUUUGCAACAGUUUGCCAACUUGUUACAAAAGAUUUGAAAGGUAUUUUAUUUUCAACAGAAUCUAAAACCAAAUGAAUAUUUCGAAGUGGUUAAACAAAAUGCUCAUGGGUUUGGUUGCCAAUUCAUGUACUAAUCACAAAUCAAGAACUACUUGGUUUCUAUCCAAGUGGACAUUUUCAUUGGCUUGGGUAUUAAGCAUCGAAAGUCUCUUACUUAUUUUCUUUAUUCAUAACCGUUGACAAUGACACCAGUUUUUUCGCUCUGCAAUUUUCAAAUUUACGUGAACCAUAUAAUGUACUAUGUAAACACAGGAAGGGAACCAUAAUGUCAUAACAAAUUACAAAAAACAAAAAAACAAGCAAAUACCAUAUCACAAUCGAAACAUGCAUUGAUGAAAUUACAUUAAACCAAUCCAAAACAUCAAACAAUUUUCUGAAACGGAGAAAAACUAACACACAAUAAUUGUAGAUGUUAAAUGAGGACAUAUAGCGAAUAUAUGGUGUGCACGUCAAAUAAGUUUGAAUGACCUGUCUAAAAAUACAGCCCUUAAUCAUAAAACAAAAGACAUCAGCACAACAAACAAAUCACAUCAAUGCGACUUUCAAUUAUGAUCAGCAAAUUGAUAAACUCAAAACCGAUAAGCUAAUAGACAUAGAGUGAAAAGUUCACCUUUCAAAACCAUCGAAACUUCACAAUGCUCUUCUGGUGAAGAAAUUCAACGACAAUGGCUAUGGCAGUGGCGGUGGUGGAUUCCGGUCAACAGGCAAUGACUCCUCCGUGCUCCUCGGACUCCCUUUUUUGUGGCUUUGCUAUUACUUUCCCCUUCUUCUCUAUUUCUUGUUUGCUUGUAAUGGGAUGGAGUUAGAAAACUUGUAUGCGUUUUUAGUGAUGUGCAUCAAUGAUUCUUGGAGAUGAAAUCUUUGAGAUAACAGUAGUGGCUUCUUCAUAAUUUUAGCAGUUAAAAAACAAUAAACUGCUGCAUUAGUUAACCCAAACUGAAAGAAAACAUGCGUCAAAAAUGAAUGGUAACGAGGUUUCUACCAACCGCUUCCUACCCCUCCAAGAAGUACUCCUGUCCAACUAACAAAACCAAAUGCCCUCAAAGAACAACAAUGAAGGACUCACUCUUGCAGCUACCAAAGAACGCUG